This 449-nucleotide ribosomal RNA is filed under the name uncultured bacterium. RNAcentral's name for it is "partial 16S ribosomal RNA". It matches the Rfam family "Bacterial small subunit ribosomal RNA", at positions 29 to 523 of the family's 1533-position model. The record is from RNAcentral.
AACGAACGCUGGCGGCAUGCCUAACACAUGCAAGUCGAACGAGAUCUUCGGGUCUAGUGGCGCACGAGUGCGUAACGCGUGGGAAUCUGCCCUUUGGUUCGGAAUAACAGUUGGAAACGACUGCUAAUACCGGAUGAUGACGAAAGUCCAAAGAUUUAUCGCCAGAGGAUGAGCCCGCGUAGGAUUAGCUAGUUGGUGUGGUAAAGGCGCACCAAGGCGACGAUCCUUAGCUGGUCUGAGAGGAUGAUCAGCCACACUGGGACUGAGACACGGCCCAGACUCCUACGGGAGGCAGCAGUGGGGAAUAUUGGACAAUGGGCGAAAGCCUGAUCCAGCAAUGCCGCGUGAGUGAUGAAGGCCUUAGGGUUGUAAAGCUCUUUUACCCGGGAUGAUAAUGACAGUACCGGGAGAGUAAGCCCCGGCUAAAUUCGUGCCAGCAGCCGCCGUAA